RNAcentral lists this ribosomal RNA (497 nucleotides) under uncultured bacterium. RNAcentral's name for it is "partial 16S ribosomal RNA". It matches the Rfam family "Bacterial small subunit ribosomal RNA", at positions 28 to 507 of the family's 1533-position model. The record is from RNAcentral.
GAUGAACGCUGGCGGCGUGCCUAAUACAUGCAAGUCGAGCGAACAGACGAGGAGCUUGCUCCUCUGACGUUAGCGGCGGACGGGUGAGUAACACGUGGAUAACCUACCUAUAAGACUGGGAUAACUUCGGGAAACCGGAGCUAAUACCGGAUAAUAUAUUGAACCGCAUGGUUCAAUAGUGAAAUACGGUUUUGCGGUCACUUAUAGAUGGAUCCGCGCCGCAUUAGCUAGUUGGUAAGGUAACGGCUUACCAAGGCAACGAUGCGUAGCCGACCUGAGAGGGUGAUCGGCCACACUGGAACUGAGACACGGUCCAGACUCCUACGGGAGGCAGCAGUAGGGAAUCUUCCGCAAUGGGCGAAAGCCUGACGGAGCAACGCCGCGUGAGUGAUGAAGGUCUUCGGAUCGUAAAACUCUGUUAUUAGGGAAGAACAAAUGUGUAAGUAACUAUGCACGUCUUGACGGUACCUAAUCAGAAAGCCACGGCUAACUACGUG